UGGAAAACAGGUUCUGAGGGCACCAUUGCCUUCGUGUAAGCCACCAACAGGGCUGACUGGGUUAUUUGCUGUGUGAGGCUCGGAAAUGGACGGAGCACGUCCAGCGCUUCCCUUGGAUUCCUCGCCAGGCACAGAGGAAAGGCUAUGGGAGCACAAAGCAAGAAAGUGGACUUCUGCAAGCCAGGAAGAAAGGCCUCCCCAGAAACCAACUCUGUGAGCACAUCGAUCUUUGACUUUUGGCCUCCAGAAUAUUGAGAAAAUAAAAGUCUGUUGUUAAGCCACCCAACCUAUGGUAUCUUUCUAUGGCAGCCUGAGCUGACUAAUACCCUUGGUAGGUGGGUGGCAGUCACCUUACUGGGCUACA
RNAcentral lists this long non-coding RNA (364 nucleotides) under Homo sapiens (human). RNAcentral describes it as "HSALNT0295172". The record is from RNAcentral. Lineage: Eukaryota; Metazoa; Chordata; Mammalia; Primates; Hominidae.